This 1541-nucleotide ribosomal RNA is filed under the name uncultured bacterium. Its description in RNAcentral is "bacterial SSU rRNA". It matches the Rfam family "Bacterial small subunit ribosomal RNA". The record is from RNAcentral.
AGAGUUUGAUCCUGGCUCAGAACGAACGCUGGCGGCGUGGAUAAGACAUGCAAGUCGAACGGAUUUACGGGUGUAGCAAUACAUUCGUGAGUCAGUGGCGCAAGGGUGCGUAACACGUGGGCAACCUGCCCUGGAGUUGGGGAUAGCCCGCCGAAAGGCGGAUUAAUACCGAAUGUGGCUACCAGUUUAUGACUGGGACGCUAAAGUCGCUGCAAGGUGACGCUCUGGGAUGGGCCCGCGGCCUAUCAGCUAGUUGGUGAGGUAACGGCUCACCAAGGCGAUGACGGGUAGCUGGUCUGAGAGGACGACCAGCCACACUGGAACUGAGACACGGUCCAGACACCUACGGGUGGCAGCAGUCGAGAAUUUUUCUCAAUGGGGGAAACCCUGAAGGAGCGACGCCGCGUGGAGGAUGAAGGUUUUCGGAUUGUAAACUCCUGUCAUUGGUGAACAAGACGGCCCGUUAACUGCGGAGCCGUUCGAUAGUAGCCGAAGAGGAAGGGACGGCUAACUCUGUGCCAGCAGCCGCGGUAAUACAGAGGUCCCAAGCGUUGUUCGGAUUCAUUGGGCGUAAAGGGUGCGUAGGCGGUUGGGUAAGUCUGAUGUGAAAUCCCGGGGCUCAACCCUGGAACUGCAUUGGAUACUGCCUGACUAGAGAACUGGAGAGGAGACUGGAAUUUACGGUGUACAGUGAAAUGCGUAAGAUCGUAAGGAAGAACAUGGCGAAAGCGAGUCUCUGGACAGAUUCUUGACGCUGAGGGCACGAAGGCCCAGGGGAAGCAAACGGGAUAAGAUACCCCGGUAGUCCUGGCCAGUAAACGGUGCACGUUUUGGUUGUGGGAGGAAUCGACCCUUCCGUGCCGGAGCUAACGCGUUAAACGUCCCGCUGGGGGAGUACGGUCGCAAGAUUAAAACUCAAAGAAAUUGACGGGGGCCCGCACAAGCGGUGGAGUAUGUGGCUUAAUUCGAUGCAACGCGAAGAACCUUACCUAGGCUUGACAUGCAUCUCUAAGUCGGUGAAAGCCGGCGAGUACCGCAAGGUACAAUUUGCACAGGUGCUGCAUGGCUGUCGUCAGCUCGUGUCGUGAGAUGUUGGGUUAAGUCCCGCAACGAGCGCAACCCCUGUGACCUGUUGCCACCCUCCUUUGGAGGAGCACUCUGGUCAGACUGCCCCUGUGAAACGGGGAGGAAGGUGGGGAUGACGUCAAGUCAGCAUGGCCCUUACGCCUAGGGCUGCACACGUACUACAAUGCCCAGUACAGAAGGAACCGAGACCGCGAGGUGGAGGAAAUCAUAGAAAACUGGGCCCAAUUCGGAUCGCAGGCUGCAACUCGCCUGCGUGAAGCCGGAAUCGCUAGUAAUGGCGUAUCAGCUACGACGCCGUGAAUACGUUCCCGGGCCUUGUACACACCGCCCGUCACAUCAUGGGAGUCGUUUGUACCCGAAGUCGGCUUUAGUGUCGCCUAAGGUAUGAGCGGUAACUGGGAUGAAGUCGUCAACAAGGUAGCCCGUAGGGGAACCUGCGGCUGGAUCACCUCCUU